Molecule: small nucleolar RNA, 104 nt
Organism: Saimiri boliviensis boliviensis (Bolivian squirrel monkey)
Lineage: Eukaryota; Metazoa; Chordata; Mammalia; Primates; Cebidae
Product: small nucleolar RNA U13
Source: RefSeq, a predicted model, not a curated record
AUCCUUUCGUAGUUCACGAGCAUGACGAAUGGGUGUUCACAUGCUUAUGUGAGAUGUGCCACUCUUGAGCUUUGUCACAACAUCGGCACGUUACCCAUAUGACC